This 299-nucleotide long non-coding RNA is filed under the name Panicum hallii. RNAcentral's name for it is "long non-coding RNA (PHAL_LNC000497)". The record is from RNAcentral. Lineage: Eukaryota; Viridiplantae; Streptophyta; Magnoliopsida; Poales; Poaceae.
GAUUAAGAUUGAGUGUUGAAAAUAACAAUACAUACUUGAUAAGAUUCUGCGAGAAUUUGGAAAUAGCAAGAGAGAGGAGUUGCCAUGCUUCAUGGCAAGAUAAGAAUUCUCUAGAAUUAGAUAUUUUGCAUAGUUGGAUAAGGAUGAGGAAAAUUAUAGAGUUAGAUAUUUUGUAAAUAAGAAUGCAGAAGUUGCCACGUGACAACACUACAAUACCAUAAGUACCUAUAAAUCGAGGUGCUCUCCUUCCCUCUUGCGCGUACCAUGGCAUAAGAUAUCUUAAGUAGGAGGUGGCAUGG